Molecule: ribosomal RNA, 491 nt
Filed under: uncultured bacterium
Lineage: Bacteria
Description: bacterial SSU rRNA
Rfam family: Bacterial small subunit ribosomal RNA
Source: RNAcentral
GAUUAUGGCUCAGGAUGAACGCUGGCGGCGUGCUUAACACAUGCAAGUCGAACGAAGCAGCUUCUGCUGCAAGAAAGUUGACUUAGUGGCGGACGGGUGAGUAACGCGUGGGUAACCUGCCUCAUACAGGGGGAUAACAGUUGGAAACGACUGCUAAGACCGCAUAACCCGCUAGUGUCGCAUGACACGGACGGAAAAUAUUUAUAGGUAUGAGAUGGGCCCGCGUCUGAUUAGCUAGUUGGUAAGGUAACGGCUUACCAAGGCGACGAUCAGUAGCCGACUUGAGAGAGUGAUCGGCCACAUUGGGACUGAGACACGGCCCAAACUCCUACGGGAGGCAGCAGUGGGGAAUAUUGGACAAUGGGGGAAACCCUGAUCCAGCCGACGCCGCGUGAGUGAAGAAGUAUUUCGGUAUGUAAAGCUCUAUCAGCAGGGAAGAUAAUGACAGUACCUGACUAAGAAGCCCCGGCUAACUACGUGCCAGCCGCGGC